UGGGGAAUAUUGCACAAUGGAGGGAACUCUGAUGCAGCGACGCCGCGUGAGUGAUGAAGGAAUUCGUUUCGUAAAACUCUGUUCUAUGGGAAGAAAAGGACUGUACCAUAGGAGAAAGCUCCGGCUAAAUACGUGCCAGCAGCCGCGGUAAUACGUAUGGAGCGAGCGUUGUCCGGAAUUAUUGGGCGUAAAGGGUGCGCAGGCGGCUUUACAAGUUGGAUGUGAAAUAUUGUGGCUCAACCACAAACGUGCAUCCAAAACUGCAAAGCUUGAGUUAAGGAGAGGUAAGGGGAAUUCCUGGUGUAGCGGUGGAAUGCGUAGAUAUCAGGAGGAAUACCGGUGGCGAAGGCGACUUACUGGACAUAAACUGACGCUCAGGCACGAAAGCGUGGGGAGCAAACAGG
This 404-nucleotide ribosomal RNA is filed under the name Fusobacteriota bacterium. RNAcentral's name for it is "Fusobacteria bacterium partial 16S ribosomal RNA". It matches the Rfam family "Bacterial small subunit ribosomal RNA", at positions 355 to 776 of the family's 1533-position model. Lineage: Bacteria; Fusobacteriati; Fusobacteriota. The record is from RNAcentral.